RNAcentral lists this ribosomal RNA (511 nucleotides) under Glomus sp. Glo12. Its description in RNAcentral is "SSU rRNA". It matches the Rfam family "Eukaryotic small subunit ribosomal RNA", at positions 569 to 1078 of the family's 1831-position model. Lineage: Eukaryota; Fungi; Glomeromycota; Glomeromycetes; Glomerales; Glomeraceae. The record is from RNAcentral.
AGCAGCCGCGGUAAUUCCAGCUCCAAUAGCGUAUAUUAAAGUUGUUGCAGUUUAAAAGCUCGUAGUUGAACUUCGGGGUUCACCCAUUGGUCAGGCUUAAUUGUCUGUACUGGUGAGAUGAGUCUCUACCUUCUGAGGAACUUUCAUGCCAUUUAUUUGGUGUGGUUGGAAAUCAGGACUGUUACUUUGAAAAAAUUAGAGUGUUUAAAGCAGGCUAACGUCUGAAUACAUUAGCAUGGAAUAAUGAAAUAGGACGGAUUGAUUCUAUUUCGUUGGUUUCUAGGGUCACCGUAAUGAUUAAUAGGGAUAGUUGGGGGCAUUAGUAUUCAAAUUGUCAGAGGUGAAAUUCUUGGAUUUAUUGAAGACUAACUACUGCGAAAGCAUUUGCCAAGGAUGUUUUCAUUAAUCAAGAACGAAAGUUAGGGGAUCGAAGACGAUCAGAUACCGUCGUAGUCUUAACCAUAAACUAUGCCGACUAGGGAUCGGACGCAGUAAAUUUUAUAAUGACGUG